UCGCGAAUUUUGGACAAUGGGCGCAAGCCUGAUCCAGCAAUGCCGCGUGCAGGAAGAAGGCCUUCGGGUUGUAAACUGCUUUUGUACGGAACGAAAAGGUCUGCCCUAAUACGGUGGGCUCAUGACGGUACCGUAAGAAUAAGCACCGGCUAACUACGUGCCAGCAGCCGCGGUAAUACGUAGGGUGCGAGCGUUAAUCGGAAUUACUGGGCGUAAAGCGUGCGCAGGCGGUUAUAUAAGACAGAUGUGAAAUCCCCGGGCUCAACCUGGGAAUUGCAUYUGUGACUGUAUAGCUAGAGUACGGUAGAGGGGGAUGGAAUUCCGCGUGUAGCAGUGAAAUGCGUAGAUAUGCGGAGGAACACCGAUGGCGAAGGCAAUCCCCUGGACCUGUACUGACGCUCAUGCACGAAAGCGUGGGGAGCAAACAGGAUUAGAUACCCUGGUAGUCCACGCCCUAAACGAUGUCAACUGGUUGUUGGGUCUUCACUGACUCAGUAACGAAGCUAACGCGUGAAGUUGACCGCCUGGGGAGUACGGCCGCAAGGUUG
Molecule: ribosomal RNA, 548 nt
Filed under: uncultured beta proteobacterium
Lineage: Bacteria; Pseudomonadati; Pseudomonadota; Betaproteobacteria
Description: bacterial SSU rRNA
Rfam family: Bacterial small subunit ribosomal RNA
Source: RNAcentral